RNAcentral lists this ribosomal RNA (433 nucleotides) under uncultured bacterium. RNAcentral describes it as "partial 16S ribosomal RNA". It matches the Rfam family "Bacterial small subunit ribosomal RNA", at positions 29 to 507 of the family's 1533-position model. The record is from RNAcentral.
AACGAACGCUGGCGGCAGGCCUAACACAUGCAAGUCGAGCGAGGACUUCGGUUCUAGCGGCGGACGGGUGAGUAACGCGUGGGAAUGUGCCCUUCUCUACGGAAUAGCCCUGGGAAACUGGGAGUAAUACCGUAUACGCCCUAUUGGGGAAAGAUUUAUCGGAGAAGGAUCAGCCCGCGUUGGAUUAGGUAGUUGGUGGGGUAAUGGCCUACCAAGCCGCCGAUCCAUAGCUGGUUUGAGAGGAUGAUCAGCCACCCUGGGACUGAGACACGGCCCCGACUCCUACGGGAAGCAGCAGUGGGGAAUCUUAUACAAUGGGGACAACCCUGAUCUAGCCAUGCCGCGUGAGUGAUGAAGACCUUAGCGUUGUAAAUCUCUUUCAACUAGGAAGAUAAUGACGGUACCAGCAGAAGAAGCCCCGGCUAACUCCGUG